AUGACUCUCGGCAACGGAUAUCUUGGUCCUCGCAUCGAUGAAGAACGUAGCGAAAUGCGAUACUUGGUGUGAAUUGCAGAAUCCCGUGAACCAUCGAGUUUUUGAACGCAAGUUGCGCCCUAAGCUUCCGGGCCGAGGGCAAGUCUGCGUGGG
This 153-nucleotide ribosomal RNA is filed under the name Stuckenia vaginata. RNAcentral's name for it is "5.8S ribosomal RNA". It matches the Rfam family "5.8S ribosomal RNA". Rfam says of the family: 5.8S ribosomal RNA (5.8S rRNA) is a component of the large subunit of the eukaryotic ribosome. It is transcribed by RNA polymerase I as part of the 45S precursor that also contains 18S and 28S rRNA. The record is from RNAcentral. Lineage: Eukaryota; Viridiplantae; Streptophyta; Magnoliopsida; Alismatales; Potamogetonaceae.